GUGUCUUUGCUUGCGUCUUCUCCGAUCUUCCUACUCGAUAUCAUUCUCUAUUUUCUGUUUUCCUAGUUAAUGAUUGAUGGAACCCAUCUUUCUAAAGCCAAAUGAGAAACAUUCUUGAAUCUUGCUUCAAUCAACGACCUUUUUUUAACUAUUGAUUCGAAUUUCCUGGUUUGGUUUCUGAUAUCGCAGUAGCAGCAAUACUUAUUAAAACCAAGAAAAAAAAAUGGGUUUGGGUAUAUCAAUCUUGGUGGGAAUUCAAGCAACCGUACUAUUCAUCUUCUUUUCGUACCUUAGAACCCUUGGUUUCACCCUGUUGUCAAUUCCAUUCUUGUAUGGUUCAUUGAUAUGUUUACUUAUAUCUUUAGCUUCUCACCCAUCUAUCAAUCUCCCUAUGCUUUUGGGCAAAAACCCAGAUGGGAGUAUCCCAAUUUGGUCAAUUAUCAUGUUCAGUCCAUACUUGAUUUUGGUUAGAAUCUUUUCAAUCCUGCGCAGAUUGACCAGUGGUGAGGAGCCUUACCAUGAGAUUUGUGAGGGUGUGUACGUUGGUGGGUGGCCUUAUUCGCCUGAGAAAUUGCCACCUGGUGACCCUGCUAUUAUAGAUUGUACUUGUGAAAUUCCCAGAAAAUCGGAAUUCAAAGGGCACCCCUAUUUGUGUAUCCCAACUUGGGAUACAAGGGCACCUCGGCCAGGGGAGAUCGAAUCAGCUGUGAAGUGGGCUUGCCGGAAGAGAGCUCAGAAUCGGCCAAUUUUCAUCCACUGUGCAUAUGGUCAUGGAAGAAGUGUUGCUGUGAUGUGUGCAUUGUUAGUGGCUCUAGGUGUGGUGGAAGAUUGGAAAAUGGCUGAGAAGUUCAUCAAAGAAAAGCGACCUUAUAUUCAGAUGAACUCUCUCCAACAUGAAGCCUUGGAAGAAUGGUCGAGACACAGGCUAUCUUCUCGCAGUCUCCCAGGAGGAACGAGGUAGUGAUAGUGAAUGUAAGUUCUGUAUUUAUGUCUAGUUCCUCAGGAUGUUCAAAAGCUCUUAGGCCAGAGGGCAAUCACUUGUGUUAUAUUUCUUCUAUUUUAUGUGGAUAUUGACUUUUCUUAUAACCUUGUGGCUUAUCUCAUUACAAUAAACUCAAGAUUAUAAGAAAAGUCAAUAUCCACAUAAAA
RNAcentral lists this unclassified non-coding RNA (1149 nucleotides) under Hevea brasiliensis (rubber tree). Lineage: Eukaryota; Viridiplantae; Streptophyta; Magnoliopsida; Malpighiales; Euphorbiaceae. The record is from RNAcentral.